UCCCCCCCCUCCCACCCCCCCCCUCCCCGCCCGUCAAGCCUUUGGCAUCAUUAUCCUCAUCACUAAAUCCUACAGAGUACAGGGCGGAAAACGGUGCACAC
This 101-nucleotide long non-coding RNA is filed under the name Pan paniscus (pygmy chimpanzee). RNAcentral describes it as "ZEB2 antisense RNA 1 conserved region 3 (ENSPPAG00000005457.1)". It matches the Rfam family "ZEB2 antisense RNA 1 conserved region 3". Lineage: Eukaryota; Metazoa; Chordata; Mammalia; Primates; Hominidae. The record is from RNAcentral.